Molecule: transfer RNA, 71 nt
Filed under: Halogranum tailed virus 1
Lineage: Duplodnaviria; Heunggongvirae; Uroviricota; Caudoviricetes; Thumleimavirales; Halomagnusviridae
Description: Halovirus HGTV-1 tRNA
Rfam family: tRNA
About the family: Transfer RNA (tRNA) molecules are approximately 80 nucleotides in length.
Source: Rfam by way of RNAcentral
UCCAGUAUGGUCUAAUGGUAGGGCACGGCUUUGGUAUGGCUGACGUGAGGGUUCAACUCCCUCUGCUGGAU